This 425-nucleotide ribosomal RNA is filed under the name uncultured bacterium. Its description in RNAcentral is "partial 16S ribosomal RNA". It matches the Rfam family "Bacterial small subunit ribosomal RNA", at positions 354 to 796 of the family's 1533-position model. The record is from RNAcentral.
GUGGGGAAUCUUGCGCAAUGGGCGAAAGCCUGACGCAGCCAUGCCGCGUGAAUGAUGAAGGUCUUAGGAUUGUAAAAUUCUUUCACCGGGGACGAUAAUGACGGUACCCGGAGAAGAAGCUCCGGCUAACUUCGUGCCAGCAGCCGCGGUAAUACGAAGGGGGCUAGCGUUGCUCGGAAUUACUGGGCGUCAAGGGCGCGUAGGCGGACAGCUUAGUCAGAGGUGAAAGCCCAGGGCUCAACCUUGGAAUUGGCUUUGAUACUGGCUGUCUUGAGUUUGGGAGAGGUGAGUGGAACUCCGAGUGUAGAGGUGAAGUUCGUAGGUAUUCGGAAGAACACCAGUGGCGAAGGCGACUCACUGGCCCAAUACUGACGCUGAGGCGCGAAAGCGUGGGGAGCAAACAGGAUUAGAUACCCGAGUAGUCC